GAGUUUGAUCCUGGCUCAGGAUGAACGCUGGCGGCAUGCCUAAUACAUGCAAGUCGAACGAGAGGAGAAGAAGCUUGCUUCUUUGAAUCUAGUGGCGAACGGGUGAGUAACACGUAGGUAACCUGCCCAUGUGCCCGGGAUAACUUCUGGAAACGGAUGCUAAAACCGGAUAGGUAGCAGACAAGCAUUUGACUGCUAUUAAAGUGGCCUUGGCCAUGAACAUGGAUGGACCUGCGGUGCAUUAGCUAGUUGGUGAGGUAACGGCCCACCAAGGCGACGAUGCAUAGCCGGCCUGAGAGGGCGGACGGCCACAUUGGGACUGAGACACGGCCCAAACUCCUACGGGAGGCAGCAGUAGGGAAUUUUCGUCAAUGGGGGGAACCCUGAACGAGCAAUGCCGCGUGAGUGAGGAAGGUCUUCGGAUCGUAAAGCUCUGUUGUAAGAGAAAAACGGCACUCAUAGGGAAUGAUGAGUGAGUGAUGGUAUCUUACCAGAAAGUCACGGCUAACUACGUGCCAGCAGCCGCGGUAAUUC
This 534-nucleotide ribosomal RNA is filed under the name uncultured bacterium. RNAcentral's name for it is "bacterial SSU rRNA". It matches the Rfam family "Bacterial small subunit ribosomal RNA", at positions 9 to 526 of the family's 1533-position model. The record is from RNAcentral.